AGAGUUUGAUCCUGGCUCAGGACGAACGCUGGCGGCGCGCCUAACACAUGCAGGUCGAACGAGAGAGAGGGAGCUUGCUUCCUCAAUCGAGUGGCGAACGGGUGAGUAACGCGUGAGGAACCUGCCUCAAAGAGGGGGACAACAGUUGGAAACGACUGCUAAUACCGCAUAAGCCCACAGCUCGGCAUCGAGCAGAGGGAAAAGGAGCAAUCCGCUUUGAGAUGGCCUCGCGUCCGAUUAGCUAGUUGGUGAGGUAAUGGCCCACCAAGGCGACGAUCGGUAGCCGGACUGAGAGGUUGAACGGCCACAUUGGGACUGAGACACGGCCCAGACUCCUACGGGAGGCAGCAGUGGGGAAUAUUGCACAAUGGGGGAAACCCUGAUGCAGCGACGCCGCGUGGAGGAAGAAGGUCUUCGGAUUGUAAACUCCUGUUGUUGAGGAAGAUAAUGACGGUACUCAACAAGGAAGUGACGGCUAACUACGUGCCAGCAGCCGCGGUACAACGUACGUCACAAGCGUUGUCCGGAAUUACUGGGUGUAAAGGGAGCCCACGCGGGAAGACAAGUUGGAAGUGAAAUCUAUGGGCUCAACCCAUCAACUGCUUUCAAAACUGGUCCCCCUUGAGUAGUGCAGAGUAGGCGGAAUCCCCGGUGUAGCGGUGGAAUGCGUAGAUAUCGGGAGGAACACCAGUGGCGAAGGCGGCNUACUGGGCACCAACUGACGCUGAGGCUCGAAAGUGUGGGUAGCAAACAGGAUUAGAUACNCUGGUAGUCCACACCGUAAACGAUGAUUACUAGGUGUUGGAGGAUUGACCCCUUCAGUGCCGCAGUUAACACAAUAAGUAAUCCACCUGGGGAGUACGACCGCAAGGUUGAAACUCAAAGGAAUUGACGGGGGCCCGCACAAGCAGUGGAGUAUGUGGUUUAAUUCGACGCAACGCGAAGAACCUUACCAAGUCUUGACAUCCUGCGACGAUGCUGGAAACAGUAUUUUCCUUCGGGACGCAGAGACAGGUGGUGCAUGGUUGUCGUCAGCUCGUGUCGUGAGAUGUUGGGUUAAGUCCCGCAACGAGCGCAACCCUUACUGUCAGUUACUACGCAAGAGGACUCUGGCAGGACUGCCGUUGACAAAACGGAGGAAGGUGGGGAUGACGUCAAAUCAUCAUGCCCUUUAUGACUUGGGCUACACACGUACUACAAUGGCGUUAAACAAAGAGAAGCAAGACCGCGAGGUGGGGCAAAACUCAGAAACAACGUCCCAGUUCGGACUGCAGGCUGCAACUCGCCUGCACGAAGUCGGAAUUGCUAGUAAUCGUGGAUCAGCAUGCCACGGUGAAUACGUUCCCGGGCCUUGUACACACCGCCCGUC
RNAcentral lists this ribosomal RNA (1369 nucleotides) under uncultured bacterium. RNAcentral's name for it is "bacterial SSU rRNA". It matches the Rfam family "Bacterial small subunit ribosomal RNA". The record is from RNAcentral.